Molecule: ribosomal RNA, 492 nt
Filed under: uncultured bacterium
Lineage: Bacteria
Description: partial 16S ribosomal RNA
Rfam family: Bacterial small subunit ribosomal RNA
Source: RNAcentral
AGUGAACGCUGGCGGUAGGCCUAACACAUGCAAGUCGAACGGUAGCACAGUAAGUGCUUGCUCUUACGGGUGGCGAGUGGCGGACGGGUGAGGAAUACAUCGGAAUCUAUUUUUUCGUGGGGGAUAACGAAGGGAUACUUAAGCUCAUACCGCAUACGACCUACGGGUGCAAUCACUGGAUCUUUGGACCUUGCGCGCUUGCAUGAGCCGAUGUGGGUUUAGCUAGUGGGCGGGGUAAAGGCCCACCAAGGCGACGCUCAGUAUCUGGUCUGAGAGGAUGUCCGCCAACACUGGAACGAGACCACGGCCCAGACUCCUAGGGAAGGAACAGGUGGGGAAUAUUGGAAAAUGAGCGCAGUCCUAAUCCAGCAAUACGGCGUGGGUAAGGAAGGCCUUCGAGUUGUAAGGCCCUUUUUUUGGGAAAGAAGAGCAGCAGGUUAGAACCCCGCUGUUGUGACGGUACCCAACGAAUAAGCACCGGCUAACUUCGUG